ACUCCUACGGGAGGCAGCAGUGAGGAAUAUUGCGCAAUGGGGGCAACCCUGACGCAGCAACGCCGCGUGAGUGAGGAAGGUUUUCGGAUUGUAAAGCUCUGUCGAGCGGAAAGAAGUGCAUGGUGGUUAAUAUCCAUCAUGCUUGACGGUACCGCUAAAGGAAGCACCGGCUAACUCCGUGCCAGCAGCCGCGGUAAUACGGGGGGUGCAAGCGUUGUUCGGAAUCAUUGGGCGUAAAGCGCGUGUAGGCGGCUGGACAAGUCAGAUGUGAAAGCCCUGGGCUUAACCCAGGAAGUGCAUUUGAAACUGUUCAGCUAGAGUAAGGGAGAGGAAAGUGGAAUUCCUGGUGUAGAGGUGAAAUUCGUAGAUAUCAGGAGGAACACCGGUGGCGAAGGCGACUUUCUGGCCCUACACUGACGCUGAGACGCGAAAGCGUGGGUAGCAAACAGGAUUAGAUACCCUGGUAGUCCACGCUGUAAACGAUGUUCACUAGGUGUUGGGGGUAUUGACCCUUCCAGUGCCGCAGCUAACGCAUUAAGUGAACCGCCUGGGGAGUACGGUCGCAAGAUUAAAACUCAAAGGAAUUGACGGGG
This 593-nucleotide ribosomal RNA is filed under the name uncultured bacterium. RNAcentral describes it as "bacterial SSU rRNA". It matches the Rfam family "Bacterial small subunit ribosomal RNA", at positions 335 to 918 of the family's 1533-position model. The record is from RNAcentral.